Molecule: ribosomal RNA, 253 nt
Filed under: uncultured bacterium
Lineage: Bacteria
Description: partial 16S ribosomal RNA
Rfam family: Bacterial small subunit ribosomal RNA
Source: RNAcentral
UACGGAGGGUGCAAGCGUUAUCCGGAUUCACUGGGUUUAAAGGGUGCGUAGGUGGGCAAGUAAGUCAGUGGUGAAAUCUCCGGGCUUAACCCGGAAACUGCCAUUGAUACUAUUUGUCUUGAAUACUGUGGAGGUCAGCGGAAUAUGUCAUGUAGCGGUGAAAUGCUUAGAUAUGACAUAGAACACCAAUUGCGGAGGCAGCUGGCUGCACAAAUAUUGACACUGAGGCACGAAAGCGUGGGGAGCAAACAGG